CCAAUAGCGUAUAUUAAAGUUGUUGCAGUUAAAAAGCUCGUAGUUGAAUUUCGGGAUCAGUACGCUGGUCGUGCCUUGGUAUGUACUGGUGUUACUGGUUCCUACCUUCUGACGAACCGUCAUGUCAUUAAUUUGGUGUGGCGGGGAAUCAGGACUGUUACUUUGAAAAAAUUAGAGUGUUUAAAGCAGGCUCGCGCUUGAAUACAUUAGCAUGGAAUAAUGAAAUAGGACGUUCGAUCCUAUUUUGUUGGUUUCUAGGAUUGACGUAAUGAUUAAUAGGGAUAGUUGGGGGCAUUAGUAUUCAAUUGUCAGAGGUGAAAUUCUUGGAUUUAUUGAAGACUAACUACUGCGAAAGCAUUUGCCAAGGAUGUUUUCAUUAAUCAAGAACGAAAGUUAGGGGAUCGAAGACGAUCAGAUACCGUCGUAGUCUUAACCAUAAACUAUGCCGACUAGGGAUCGGAUGAUGUUAAUUUUUUAAUGACUCAUUCGGCGCCUUACG
RNAcentral lists this ribosomal RNA (499 nucleotides) under uncultured Glomeromycotina. Its description in RNAcentral is "partial small subunit ribosomal RNA". It matches the Rfam family "Eukaryotic small subunit ribosomal RNA", at positions 591 to 1092 of the family's 1831-position model. The record is from RNAcentral. Lineage: Eukaryota; Fungi; Glomeromycota.